AGAGUUUGAUCCUGGCUCAGAGCGAACGCUGGCGGCAGGCCUAACACAUGCAAGUCGAACGGGCCCCUUCGGGGGUCAGUGGCAGACGGGUGAGUAACGCGUGGGAACGUGCCCAUCGGUUCGGGAUAACCCAGGGAAACUUGGGCUAAUACCGGAUACGCCCUUUUGGGGAAAGAUUCAUUGCCGAUGGAUCGGCCCGCGUCUGAUUAGCUAGUUGGCGAGGUAACGGCUCACCAAGGCGACGAUCAGUAGCUGGUCUGAGAGGAUGAUCAGCCACACUGGGACUGAGACACGGCCCAGACUCCUACGGGAGGCAGCAGUGGGGAAUAUUGGACAAUGGGCGCAAGCCUGAUCCAGCCAUGCCGCGUGAGUGAUGAAGGCCUUAGGGUUGUAAAGCUCUUUCACCCACGACGAUAAUGACGGUAGUGGGAGAAGAAGCCCCGGCUAACUUCGUGCCAGCAGCCGCGGUAAUACGAAGGGGGCUAGCGUUGCUCGGAAUCACUGGGCGUAAAGGGCGCGUAGGCGGCCGAUCAAGUCAGGGGUGAAAGCCUGUGGCUCAACCACAGAAUUGCCUUUGAUACUGUUCGGCUCGAGACCGGAAGAGGUUGGUGGAACUGCGAGUGUAGAGGUGAAAUUCGUAGAUAUUCGCAAGAACACCAGUGGCGAAGGCGGCCAACUGGUCCGGUUCUGACGCUGAGGCGCGAAAGCGUGGGGAGCAAACAGGAUUAGAUACCCCAGUAGUCC
RNAcentral lists this ribosomal RNA (744 nucleotides) under uncultured Hyphomicrobiales bacterium. RNAcentral describes it as "bacterial SSU rRNA". It matches the Rfam family "Bacterial small subunit ribosomal RNA", at positions 8 to 796 of the family's 1533-position model. Lineage: Bacteria; Pseudomonadati; Pseudomonadota; Alphaproteobacteria; Hyphomicrobiales. The record is from RNAcentral.